This 514-nucleotide ribosomal RNA is filed under the name uncultured bacterium. Its description in RNAcentral is "bacterial SSU rRNA". It matches the Rfam family "Bacterial small subunit ribosomal RNA", at positions 68 to 570 of the family's 1533-position model. The record is from RNAcentral.
GGCAGCAUUUUAGUUUGCUUGCAAACUAAAGAUGGCGACCGGCGCACGGGUGAGUAACACGUAUCCAACCUACCGAUAACUCUGGAAUAGCCUUUCGAAAGAAAGAUUAAUACUGGAUAGUAUACGAAUAUCGCAUGAUAUUUUUAUUAAAGAAUUUCGGUUAUCGAUGGGGAUGCGUUCCAUUAGUUUGUUGGCGGGGUAACGGCCCACCAAGACUACGAUGGAUAGGGGUUCUGAGAGGAAGGUCCCCCACAUUGGAACUGAGACACGGUCCAAACUCCUACGGGAGGCAGCAGUGAGGAAUAUUGGUCAAUGGGCGCAGGCCUGAACCAGCCAAGUAGCGUGAAGGAUGACUGCCCUAUGGGUUGUAAACUUCUUUUAUAUGGGAAUAAAGUUUUCCACGUGUGGAAUUUUGUAUGUACCAUAUGAAUAAGGAUCGGCUAACUCCGUGCCAGCAGCCGCGGUAAUACGGAGGAUCCGAGCGUUAUCCGGAUUUAUUGGGUUUAAAGGGAGC